Molecule: ribosomal RNA, 301 nt
Filed under: uncultured bacterium
Lineage: Bacteria
Description: partial 16S ribosomal RNA
Rfam family: Bacterial small subunit ribosomal RNA
Source: RNAcentral
CAGCCGCCGCGGUAAUACGUAGGGUGCGAGCGUUGUCCGGAAUUAUUGGGCGUAAAGAGCUCGUAGGCGGCUUGUCGCGUCGAAUGUGAAAGCCCGGGGCUUAACUCCGGGUCUGCAUUCGAUACGGGCAGGCUAGAGUGUGGUAGGGGAGAUCGGAAUUCCUGGUGUAGCGGUGAAAUGCGCAGAUAUCAGGAGGAACACCGGUGGCGAAGGCGGAUCUCUGGGCCAUUACUGACGCUGAGGAGCGAAAGCGUGGGGAGCGAACAGGAUUAGAUACCCCAGUAGUCCCUGUCUCUUAUAA